GCUAGAAUUAUUCGAUAGUAGAGUUUGUGAUCACAUGUGGAGAUGUCUGGGUUUUGGACAUCUGACGUCGCAACUUACUCGAAAACGAUUGAAUUUUUUACCAUAGCCUACACAUGUGUUAAUAUGAAACCUCGUAAAGUUUCGUGAUUUUUAGACCUUGUAUAGAUUUAAUAUAAUUUUAAAUCAUUUUUCUGAGAAGUGGCUAAUCAUGUCACACGUAAAAGUUGCGCGGAAUUUGAUUCCGGUUUGUGCGCAGGGACUCCACACACAUCAAAUAACAUGAAUAACAUUUUUUGAAAAACUAUAGUUUAUUAUAUCAUGCACCUGCAGUUCAAAUUUAUAACAGUGUGAAAAUUACGACGAAUUGAAAUAAAUUCAAGAAAUAUAUAUAAAAAAGUGAAAUUUGUGCCAAUUUUUAAAUUUGUGUUUAAAAUAAUGUGAUUUGUGCCCAC
RNAcentral lists this long non-coding RNA (452 nucleotides) under Sorghum bicolor (sorghum). Its description in RNAcentral is "long non-coding RNA (SBIC_LNC009460)". Lineage: Eukaryota; Viridiplantae; Streptophyta; Magnoliopsida; Poales; Poaceae. The record is from RNAcentral.